AUUAAUUCGAUGCAACGCGAAGAACCUUACCUGGGUUUGACAUAUGCCGGAAAGCUGCAGAGAUGUAGCCCCCGCAAGGUCGGUAUACAGGUGGUGCAUGGCUGUCGUCAGCUCGUGUCGUGAGAUGUUGGGUUAAGUCCCGCAACGAGCGCAACCCUCGUCCUAUGUUGCCAGCGGGUCAUGCCGGGGACUCAUAGGAGACUGCCGGGGUCAACUCGGAGGAAGGUGGGGAUGACGUCAAGUCAUCAUGCCCCUUAAGUCCAGGGCUUCACGCAUGCUACAAUGGCUGGUACAAAGGGCUGCGAUACCGCAAGGUGGAGCGAAUCCCAAAAAGCCAGUCUCAGUUCGGAUUGGGGUCUGCAACUCGACCCCAUGAAGUCGGAGUCGCUAGUAAUCGCAGAUCAGCAACGCUG
Molecule: ribosomal RNA, 413 nt
Filed under: uncultured bacterium
Lineage: Bacteria
Description: bacterial SSU rRNA
Rfam family: Bacterial small subunit ribosomal RNA
Source: RNAcentral